UAUCAGUCAUGCAUAGCAUAUCAAUAAGCGGAGGAAAAAGAAACUAACAAGGAUUCCCCUAGUAACGGCGAGUGAAGCGGGAAGAGCUCAGAUUUGAAAUCUUAAAGGGUUUCCCUUUACGAAUUGUAGUUUAAAGAAGUGUUUUCUGUUAGAGUUUCGGUAAAAGUUCUUUGGAAUAGGACAUCAUAGAGGGUGAGAAUCCCGUAUUUGACCGUUAUUUCUAGCUUUGUGAUACACUUUCGAAGAGUCGGAUUGUUUGGGAAUGCAGUCCAAAAUGGGUGGUAAAUUUCAUCUAAAGCUAAAUAUUGGCGAGAGACCGAUAGCGAACAAGUACCGUGAGGGAAAGAUGAAAAGAACUUUGAAAAGAGAGUUAAACAGUACGUGAAAUUGUCAAAAGGGAAGCGUUUGACACCAGUGUUGUUUAAUUGAAAAUCAAUUAACUAAUUUUUGAUUUUAAAUAGUAUUGACUUUAUCAGCUAGCUAUUUUCUUUUCGGAAAUUAUUUAAUGCACUUUUCAGUUAACAAGUCAACAUCAAUUUCUUUUGUUGUAAAAAGGUAAGAGGAAGGUGGCUUAUGCUUCGGUAUAAGUGUUUAUAGCCUUUUACCUCUGCAAUCGGAGAGAUUGAGGUCUGCAGCGUAGAUCCUUCGGGGUUAGAUGACAUUUGUGCUAAGUUAUAGUAUUUUAUAGACAACUUGUUGACUAUGAUUUAUCAUGUAGCUUACUCGCUUAUGCUAUUUUACCUACGCUUAGGAUGUUGACGAUCAGCUGAGCGCGUGAGUCUAUACAUGACUCUGUGCAUAUCAAUAAGCGGAGGAAAAGAGGUGACUCUACCUACGCUUAGGAUGUUGACGAUCAGCUGAGCGCG
Molecule: ribosomal RNA, 866 nt
Filed under: uncultured Neocallimastigales
Lineage: Eukaryota; Fungi; Neocallimastigomycota; Neocallimastigomycetes; Neocallimastigales
Description: partial large subunit ribosomal RNA
Rfam family: Eukaryotic large subunit ribosomal RNA
Source: RNAcentral